CAUGGUGGGGGGUGGAAAGCUUUUGUGGUUUUGGAUGGACUCGCGGCCUAUCAGCUUGUUGGUGAGGUAAUGGCUUACCAAGGCGACGACGGGUAGCCGGCCUGAGAGGGUGACCGGCCACACUGGGACUGAGACACGGCCCAGACUCCUACGGGAGGCAGCAGUGGGGAAUAUUGCACAAUGGGCGGAAGCCUGAUGCAGCGACGCCGCGUGAGGGAUGACGGCCUUCGGGUUGUAAACCUCUUUCAGUAGGGAAGAAGCGUAAGUGACGGUACCUGCAGAAGAAGCGCCGGCUAACUACGUGCCAGCAGCCGCGGUAAUACGUAGGGCGCAAGCGUUAUCCGGAAUUAUUGGGCGUAAAGAGCUCGUAGGCGGUUUGUCGCGUCUGCCGUGAAAGUCCGGGGCUCAACUCCGGAUCUGCGGUGGGUACGGGCAGACUAGAGUGAUGUAGGGGAGACUGGAAUUCCUGGUGUAGCGGUGAAAUGCGCAGAUAUCAGGAGGAACACCGAUGGCGAAGGCAGGUCUCUGGGCAUUAACUGACGCUGAGGAGCGAAAGCAUGGGGAGCGAACAGGAUUAGAUACCCUGGUAGUCCAUGCCGUAAACGUUGGGCACUAGGUGUGGGGGACAUUCCACGUUUUCCGCGCCGUAGCUAACGCAUUAAGUGCCCCGCCUGGG
RNAcentral lists this ribosomal RNA (676 nucleotides) under Arthrobacter sp. THI432. RNAcentral describes it as "bacterial SSU rRNA". It matches the Rfam family "Bacterial small subunit ribosomal RNA", at positions 188 to 877 of the family's 1533-position model. The record is from RNAcentral. Lineage: Bacteria; Bacillati; Actinomycetota; Actinomycetes; Micrococcales; Micrococcaceae.